AAGUCAUAACAAGGUUUCCGUAGGUGAACCUGCGGAAGGAUCAUUAAUAGUGCCCUUUGAUGCAAAUCAUUGGGUUAGAUCUGCUCUCUUCGCAAGAAGAGGGUUUCCAUACACACCGUGAACUGUGGCUUCGGCCAUCACAAACUGUUAGUAAUGAAUGUAAUAUCAUAACAAAAACAAAACUUUUAACAACGGAUCUCUUGGCUCUCGCAUCGAUGAAGAACGCAGCGAAAUGCGAUAAGUAAUGUGAAUUGCAGAAUUCAGUGAAUCAUCGAAUCUUUGAACGCACCUUGCGCCCUUUGGUAUUCCGAAGGGCAUGCCUGUUUGAGUGUCAUGAAACCUCACCCCACUUGGGUUUUUGCCUGAGCGGUGGUGUAUUGGGUGUUGCCUUGCUAAAGGCUCGCCUUAAAGACAUAAGCACCUUGGAUGUAAUACGUUUCAUCCUUCUGGGUGGCUGAUAACCCCACAUAUUCAUGAUCUGGCCUCAAAUCAGGUAGGGCUACCCGCUGAACUUAA
Molecule: ribosomal RNA, 516 nt
Filed under: uncultured fungus
Lineage: Eukaryota; Fungi
Description: eukaryotic LSU rRNA
Rfam family: 5.8S ribosomal RNA (bases 181-334)
Source: RNAcentral